UCUUACAUGCUGAGGAGGAAUUGAUUUGUAGCUUUUGCACGAGGGAGAUUGAGACGGCUUCACAUCUGUUGUUUACUUGCUCGGUUGCAAUGCAAGUUUGGGACUUAUGUUAUGCUUGGCUCGGUGUGUCAACUGUGCUUCCCAGAGAUUCACGUGCCCAUCUUCUUCAAUUUUCUUUUGGGUGGAAUAGAGUCCAGCAACGGGUGGCCUACUCCAUUUGGUUGUCAGUGGUUUGGAGCUUAUGAUUAUGGUGGAAUGAAGUUGUUUUUAGGAGCAGGGAGAUGGAUGUUUACUCUAUUUUUGAGCUGGUCAAGUGGCGAACUUGGAGCUGGGUAAAGUCGAAGCUUAGAGGGUUUGAUAAUUCAUUCUUUGAGUGGACUUCACAACCUCUCAUGUGUCUUCAAUCGGUUUAAUUGUUAAGAGGAGGUUGCUGUAUUUUGUGUUGUUGUGUUCUGCUUUGCCUGCUGUAUUUCGUGGCUGGUAUUUUAGUCUCGUUUUUGUCUUCUUUUGCUGUUGGGUUUUUUGUACUUCUAGUAUCUUAGUUUUUUCCUUGUUUUGGUUCUUUUGUAUUGGGAUUGAAGUACCACUUGUACUUCUAUUUUAAUGCAAUGUCUGGCUUAUCUAAAAAAAAAACUUUAUUUUAUUUUUUUAAAUGGGGAACACAUUCUCACGUCCUCAAGUUACUCCCUCCGUUCCAAAAAAUUUGUAGUUUUUGGUAUGAUUUCAAUAUUCCAAAUAGUUUGCAAGAUCAAACACUACAACAAAAAUUACAUUUAGCGACAAUCUUGUAGUGGCAAAAGCCCUAUUGCCGGCAUUUUAUGUAAAAAAAAUACACUUUUUCUACGUAUUAUGAAUUUGCCAUUAAUAAGUUACGUAUAGUGGCAAUUGGUGAAAAAAGACAAAAAUUCACCAGAAAGUCUUUGUUCCCUCUUCCUCUUCGACCUCCUCGCUCUCUUCUUCCCCAUCGGAACCCUAGCUUCAAAUCUCUCAUCUUCUGGUUCUCCGUCGCCUGCAACGUCUGAUUCGGCGGCGGCCACAUAGUCCCCUUGCCCCCACUGCCGAUGUGAUCUGAAGCCUCCCCUGUAGCGGUGGUCCAGUCCUCGCAUAUCGGAGGAACUCACCGUUUCCCUGUCACCGUCGCCGAUGUGUGCGAAAUUCGAGCACAGCAAAACCGAGGGGACGACGUUGCAGCCGUGGCGAAUGAGGAGCCAGAAGGAGUGGAGUGAAGAGGACGUUGAGGUUCAGAACAAGCAGAUGGCGAAGCCAAUUGGAACAGAGCCAAUUCGCAUACUUAGCUCUCCAUUCUCGUUCAGUCGUGCUCACUCUCCUGCUCUGGAUCUCUGUUUGCUCCAGAUCUUUCAAGAUCUCCAAUGCGGCAUAUUGUUCACGGUAUUGAAGUAUCGUUGCUGUUAGUUCUUAGCAGAUGAAGAUAGUAAGAAAGUUGGCUAAGGACUUCUAUAAAUAUGCAACUGAGCAUCAAGACAGUACUUACCCCCUUGCAAAGGCUGUAUGUGAUGGAUUUAAGUAAAGUGUUGAACCUUCAGUUUAUUUAAGUGGAGGUAUGUAUGCUUAAUAUUUCAUUAAAUGAACUGCACUUUUGAUAUAGUCUUUGUGUUCUAAAAAUCUUUUGCAAGAGUGGUAUACUGAACUUUACAUACUGACUUUAACAGAUAUUAAGACUAACGAGUUCAAUGAAAGAAAUGAAGGCUGUUGGGAAGAUAAAAAUGCUAAUGUAACCGCUUUCCUACCACUAAUUGUUCUCCUAAUUAUAACUGCUAUGUGGUUAGCUGCAAGUUAAACCUUUAACUUUGGCAGGAUACUUUCAGAGGGAAAUUUGUGGUUGGCUGCAAGUUUGUGAGGGCCCUGUGAUGCUACAUCAUAUAUUUUCUAGUCACUUUUCUAAGUUCUAACUACAUACUCUUGUUAUGUAGGUCCUUAAUGAGGUCACUGCAUACUUGUGGUCUUGUAGGGUGAUUCUCUUUAUAUUAGUUGCAGGUUAGUUGUCUAAUCUUAUGGACCUUUAUGGAGAAUUAAUUUUAGAUAAAAUAUGUAAAGUUAAUUAAAAGCUUUUUAAUAUGAGAUAAUUUUGUUAAUUUGUUUCAUAAGUGCUUUAUUUUGUUGGUUAAAGCAUUGCAACUCAUGCUAUCCUUUCUCUUUUGGUAGGUUUUGGACCUCAUUUUUUGGCUUGUUGAAUGCUAUAAUGAUUUUUAGAGUUAAAGUUGAAGAUAUGCAUUUUGAUUUUUAUAUUUAACUUUAAGUUCACAUUAUCUUUCAAUCAGUUCAACAAGGAUUCUUUAGUUUAGCCCCCUCCCCCUAAAUGUGGUGCUUUGUUCCUUGAUGUUUAUGUUGUUAUUGAAUUCUAGAAAAAAAGUAUUGUCUAAGGUAAGUGGCCUAUGUGUCAAAUUUUGGGUCUGAAGAUAUCUAAAAAUAGUCAAUUUGAAUUGGUGAAUAGCAUCAUCCUACUAAAUUCUAUUGCUUAAGAUUCUGUCACACAGCUCAAAAGGGAAGUACUUGAUUACCUUGUAUUUGACAAGGACAAUACAGGUUAUUUGCCUAUGCUGCUCCAAGAGAUGUGGUUAUGUGUAUGAUUGAGAAGGAAAUUGAGUUUGAAGCAGUGCAUGUUGACCUCUCCAAAAGGGAGCAUAAGGGACCUGAGUUCCUCAAGGUUUCAGAUAAUCUUGUUGUUUCUCACUUCUUAGGGACGUAAAGGUUAAGGAUCGGUCUUGAAACAUUGUAACUACAAUUUUAUUGAUUUUGGAUAGAAUUUGAUUUUGGCAAAGUUGAUGAUGAUAAAAGUGAGUUCUGUUGCACCUUUGCUAUUGUAAUGGUGUUUCUUGGACAUCUUGUACUUCCUCUAGUCUUGGGUCACAAUUUUGGCUCAGGCAUCAUUCUCAAUAAUAUACAUUUCAUUUUCAAAAAAAAAAAGUGAGUUCUAUUAGGAUAUGUUAUGGAAAAAAGUUAUUGAUUUGAUAUUUGAAAUUUAGUUAUGAAAUCUCACAAUUGGUUAUGUCCACUGAGAAAAACUACUCUUGAGUUUUUCCGCAGAAUUAAUUUUAAGACUAAAAUAAUAUUGCUUAUGUCCAUUGUGAAUUUGGCACAAUCGAUUGUCAAACAUCUAUUUCACCACCUAAAAGUAAUUCUUAUCAAUGAGAAUCAAUUCAAGAUUCCAAACAUGAAACCAAACACACUAUAUUUACACUAUAUUUGAGGCUCAAAUUGGGACUAAGGAUUGUAAAAGAUGCUUAAAAUGAGUGGAUGUUAUGUUACCUCCUUU
Long non-coding RNA from Lotus japonicus, 3274 nucleotides. RefSeq lists it as uncharacterized. The transcript is spliced from 5 exons. Lineage: Eukaryota; Viridiplantae; Streptophyta; Magnoliopsida; Fabales; Fabaceae. The record is from RefSeq and is a predicted model, not a curated record.